This 381-nucleotide ribosomal RNA is filed under the name uncultured bacterium. RNAcentral's name for it is "bacterial SSU rRNA". It matches the Rfam family "Bacterial small subunit ribosomal RNA", at positions 355 to 728 of the family's 1533-position model. The record is from RNAcentral.
UAAGGAAUAUUGGACAAUGGGCGAAAGCCUGAUCCAGCAAUGCCGCGUGAGUGAAGAAGGCCUUCGGGUUGUAAAGCUCUUUCAGUCGAGAAGAAAAGAUUAUGACUAAUAAUCAUAAUUUAUGACGGUAUCGGCAGAAGAAGCACCGGCUAACUACGUGCCAGCAGCCGCGGUAAUACGUAGGGUGCAAGCGUUAAUCGGAAUUACUGGGCGUAAAGGGUGCGCAGGCGGCUCUGCAAGUCAGAUGUGAAAUCCCCGGGCUUAACCUGGGAACUGCGUUUGAAACUACAGAGCUAGAGUGUGGCAGAGGGAGGUGGAAUUCCAUGUGUAGCAGUGAAAUGCGUAGAGAUAUGGAAGAACAUCGAUGGCGAAGGCAACCUC